ACGAACGCUGGCGGCGUGCUUAACACCUGCCAGUCGAACGGAAAGGCCCUGCUUUUGUGGGGUGCUCGAGUGGCGAACGGGUGAGUAACACGUGAGUAACCUGCCCUUGACUUUGGGAUAACUUCAGGAAACUGGGGCUAAUACCGGAUAGGAGCUCCUGCUGCAUGGUGGGGGUUGGAAAGUUUCGGCGGUUGGGGAUGGACUCGCGGCUUAUCAGCUUGUUGGUGGGGUAGUGGCUUACCAAGGCUUUGACGGGUAGCCGGCCUGAGAGGGUGACCGGCCACAUUGGGACUGAGAUACGGCCAAGACUCCUACGGGAGGCAGCAGUGGGGAAUAUUGCACAAUGGGCGGAAGCCUGAUGCAGCAACGCCGCGUGCGGGAUGACGGCCUUCGGGUUGUAAACCGCUUUCGCCUGUGACGAAGCGUGAGUGACGGUAAUGGGUAAAGAAGCACCGGCUAACUACGUG
This 467-nucleotide ribosomal RNA is filed under the name uncultured bacterium. RNAcentral's name for it is "partial 16S ribosomal RNA". It matches the Rfam family "Bacterial small subunit ribosomal RNA", at positions 29 to 507 of the family's 1533-position model. The record is from RNAcentral.